AGUGAACGCUGGCGGCAGGCCUAACACAUGCAAGUCGAGCGGAUGAAGGGAGCUUGCUCCUGGAUUCAGCGGCGGACGGGUGAGUAAUGCCUAGGAAUCUGCCUGGUAGUGGGGGAGAACGUCCGGAAACGGGCGCUAAUACCGCAUACGUCCUGAGGGAGAAAGUGGGGGAUCUUCGGACCUCACGCUAUCAGAUGAGCCUAGGUCGGAUUAGCUAGUUGGUGGGGUAAAGGCCUACCAAGGCGACGAUCCGUAACUGGUCUGAGAGGAUGAUCAGUCACACUGGAACUGAGACACGGUCCAGACUCCUACGGGAGGCAGCAGUGGGGAAUAUUGGACAAUGGGCGAAAGCCUGAUCCAGCCAUGCCGCGUGUGUGAAGAAGGUCUUCGGAUUGUAAAGCACUUUAAGUUGGGAGGAAGGGCAGUAAGUUAAUACCUUGCUGUCUUGACGUUACCCACAGAAUAAGCACCGGCUAACUUCGUG
Molecule: ribosomal RNA, 484 nt
Filed under: uncultured bacterium
Lineage: Bacteria
Description: partial 16S ribosomal RNA
Rfam family: Bacterial small subunit ribosomal RNA
Source: RNAcentral